Molecule: long non-coding RNA, 2642 nt
Filed under: Homo sapiens (human)
Lineage: Eukaryota; Metazoa; Chordata; Mammalia; Primates; Hominidae
Description: HSALNT0050978
Source: RNAcentral
GUAAGUUCUUUAAGAGCUAUGACGUUGUCAUGUUCAACACUGUAUUUUGAUGCCUUGCACAUAACAGGCACUCAACUGAUAGUUGCUGAAUGAAUCAAUCAAUGAUAAAUGAAUGAAUGUUACAAUGUUCUGAGGGCCCUGGAGUCAUGUCUAACUGCAUGAUGCUCUACUUAUUGGAUCCAGUGGUCUUUGCGGACUAAGCAGAUACACAAAAAAUAACAACAGCUGCUUUUUUUUUUUUUUUCUUUUGAGACAGGAUCUUGCUCUGUUGCAUAGGCUGGAGUGCAGUGGCACAAUCUUGGUUCACUGCAACCUCUGCCUCCCGAGCUCAAGCAAUCCUCCCACCUUGGCCUCCCCGGUAGCUGGGACUGUGAAUGCGCACCACCACACCUGACUAAUUUUUGUAUUUUUUGGUAGAGAUGGGGUUUCACCGCAUUGCCCAGGCUGGCCUCAAACACCUGGGCUCAAAUGAUCCGCCUGCCUUGGGCUCCCAGAGUGCUGGGAUUACGGGUGUGAGCCUCCGCACCCAGCCAAUAGCUGUUUUAUUUAGUGCUUACUAUGUACUGGGUGUACACACCAUCUCAUUUUAUCCUCAGAGUAGUUUUGCAAGGUCGGGAUUAUUAACCCCAUUUAUUUAUUUAUUUUUUUGAGACAGGGUCUCGUUUUGUCACCCAGGCUGGAUACACUGGCACGUUCAAUAGUUCACGGCAGCCUCGACCUCCCGGGCUCAAGCAACUCUCCCAUCUCAGCAUCCCGAGUAGCUGAGACCACAGGUAACAAGAGGAUUCAGAAUCUGAGAGAUACUGCUUAAAAGGAAAAUGUCCUGGAGGGAUGCCAAACUGCACUCUCAAAGGUUUCGGCUGGAUGUGUGAUAUUGAUGGGGAAACCCAUUUCAGUGUCUCUAAGAAGGGGGUAGUGCUCCUCUUUCCAGGAUGUCUCUGGGGAAUCUAGAGCACCCCAAAGUGUGGUAUGCAUAGAAACAUUGCUGCUUAAGGUCUGAAUAUUUGUUCCUCAUCAAUUCAUGUGUUGAAAUUCUAACCUCUCCUGAAUGGGAUUAGUGCUCUUACACGAGAGGCCUGACAGAGACUCCUCACCCUUCCCACCAUGCGAAGACACAGUGAGAAGGCUCAGUCUAUGAACCAAAAUGUUGACUGUCACCAUUUACUCAAUCUGCUGUCGCCUUGAGCUUGGACUUCCCAGCCUCCAGAACUGUGAGAAAUAAAUUUCUGUUGCUUAUAAGACAACCAGUUUAUGACAUUUCGUUAUAGCAGCCUGAAUGGACUAAGACACCCUUCCCACCAUGUGAAGACAGAGUGAGAAGGUUCGGUCUAUGAACCAAAAACUGACCCUCACCAGUCAUUGAAUCUGCUGGUGCCUUGAUCUUGGACUUCCCAGCCUCCAGAACUGUGAGAAAUAAAUUUCUGUCGUUUAUAAGCCACCUAGUUUAUGAUACUUUGUUAUAGCAGCCUGAAUGGACUGAGACACCCACCUUAAAAAGACAGUACCUCAAAACCAUAAGGCAGGAUAACUGCUAGCCUGAUAUUAAUAGUUUUUAAUUUACUGCUAGCUUCAUUUUGCCAACUGAGUCAGAUAUUUUUUAAAAGUUCUGUUUGCAAUUAUUUUAACUUAGGAGAGGAGAAAAAGAGCAGGCAUCAGCCUGCAUAUGGGAUAUUUCUGAAAGGAUUUUGCUAUGAUUAGCUUGCCCUCAGGGAGAGUAAAAUGUGAGUUAUACAACCAUGCUUAUAUUUAGAUGUUGUUGAUGUUCUGGCUUAUAAUAUAUGAUGAGUUAGAAAUAAUUUUGUACUGAUCAGCCCAACCAGAAAAUAAACAUGCUUUAACUUGUAUUUAUUACUAAACUUGGUCUCCUAAAACAUGAUAAAGCAGUUGAGUCUAUAAUGACUGAGCCAUAGCUUCUCUGACUGACUCUAAGAGGGAAUGACGUUAAUAAGAGAUUAGCCCAUACCUCUAAUAGCCCUGGGAGAGAUGAACCCAAGACGGCAAGGCCCAGCUCUGAUGGAUGAAGGGACAGAGAACUAUAAGAAGACUGGGUUCCAUCUAGGAUGGGUGGCCUGUUGAGUGCCCAUCUUAUCUGCUUAGAUGAUGAUACUUGGAGACCUGACUCAAUUGUUGUGAAUGGUCUUUGUAAAAUUUUAUUUUAGAGACAGGGUCUUGCUAUGUUGCCCAGGCUGGUCUCAAACACCUGGGCUCAAGUGAUCCUCCUGCCUCAGCCUCCUGAGUAGCUGGAACUGCAAGUGAUUACUCUUAUUGAACAAACAAACAAAAACAAGUGCCUGUGACCUAAUAGAGAUGCAUGCAUAUGUUCACCAAAAGAUCUAGAAUGUCCACAACAGCCCUAUUUAUCAUCACCCCAAAUGGGGCACCCUGCACCUACCUCAACAGUAGAUGCAUACAUUUCUGUGUAUUUACACUGUGGAAUAUGACACAGCAAUGACAAUGAAUGAACUACAGCUAUACACAACAACAUGGAUGGCUAUCACAAACAUAAGGUAGAGCUAAAAGCGAAAAAAACCAGCAUAAAAGUGGGCAAAAGCCAUCUAUGUUGUUAAAAAUCAGGAUAGUGGCUGCCCUGGAAGGGGGCAUGAGGAGGCUUCAAGGUGCUUGUCAUGUUCUCUUUCUUCACU